RNAcentral lists this ribosomal RNA (467 nucleotides) under uncultured bacterium. RNAcentral's name for it is "partial 16S ribosomal RNA". It matches the Rfam family "Bacterial small subunit ribosomal RNA", at positions 28 to 523 of the family's 1533-position model. The record is from RNAcentral.
GAUGAAUGCUGGCGGCGUGCCUAACACAUGCAAGUCGAGCGGUAACAGGUCUAGUUUACUAGAUGCUGACGAGCGGCGGACGGCUGAGUAACGCGUGGGAAUGUGCACCAAAGUGAGGAAUAACUGCCCGCAAGGGGAGCUAAUGCCGCAUGUGAUCUACGGAUUAAAGGAUUUAUCCGCUUUGGGAGCAGCCCGCGUUAGAUUAGGUAGUUGGUAGGGUAAUGGCCUACCAAGCCGACGAUCUAUAGCUGGUCUGAGAGGAUGAUCAGCCAGACCGGGACUGAGACACGGCCCAGACUCCUACGGGAGGCAGCAGUGAGGAAUCUUCCACAAUGGGCGAAAGCCUGAUGGAGCAACGCCGCGUGAAGGAUGAAGGCCCUCGGGUUGUAAACUUCUUUUAUAAGUGAAGAAUAUGACGGUAACUUAUGAAUAAGCACCGGCUAACUACGUGCCAGCAGCCGCGGUAA